GGAGAGGUGGCAGAGUGGUCGAUUGUGCAGCACUGGAAAUGCUGUGUACGGGUAACCGUACCGCGGGUUCGAAUCCCGCCCUCUCCG
This 87-nucleotide transfer RNA is filed under the name Gemmataceae bacterium. RNAcentral describes it as "tRNA-Ser". It matches the Rfam family "tRNA". Rfam says of the family: Transfer RNA (tRNA) molecules are approximately 80 nucleotides in length. Their secondary structure includes four short double-helical elements and three loops (D, anti-codon, and T loops). Further hydrogen bonds mediate the characteristic L-shaped molecular structure. tRNAs have two regions of fundamental functional importance: the anti-codon, which is responsible for specific mRNA codon recognition, and the 3' end, to which the tRNAs corresponding amino acid is attached (by aminoacyl-tRNA synthetases). tRNAs cope with the degeneracy of the genetic code in two manners: having more than one tRNA (with a specific anti-codon) for a particular amino acid; and 'wobble' base-pairing, i.e. permitting non-standard base-pairing at the 3rd anti-codon position. The record is from RNAcentral. RNAcentral also lists the same sequence under 1 other name. Lineage: Bacteria; Pseudomonadati; Planctomycetota; Planctomycetia; Gemmatales; Gemmataceae.